Molecule: transfer RNA, 77 nt
Filed under: Candidatus Peregrinibacteria bacterium
Lineage: Bacteria; Candidatus Peregrinibacteriota
Also listed under: 1 other name
Description: tRNA-Asp
Rfam family: tRNA
About the family: Transfer RNA (tRNA) molecules are approximately 80 nucleotides in length. Their secondary structure includes four short double-helical elements and three loops (D, anti-codon, and T loops).
Source: RNAcentral
GGAGCAGUAGCUCAGUUGGUUAGAGCACCUGCCUGUCACGCAGGGGGUCGAGAGUUCGAGUCUCUUCUGUUCCGCCA